This 467-nucleotide ribosomal RNA is filed under the name uncultured bacterium. Its description in RNAcentral is "partial 16S ribosomal RNA". It matches the Rfam family "Bacterial small subunit ribosomal RNA", at positions 28 to 506 of the family's 1533-position model. The record is from RNAcentral.
GACGAACGCUGGCGGCGUGCUUAACACAUGCAAGUCGAACGGAAAGGCCCUGCUUUUGUGGGGUGCUCGAGUGGCGAACGGGUGAGUAACACGUGAGUAACCUGCCCUUGACUUUGGGAUAACUUCAGGAAACUGGGGCUAAUACCGGAUAGGAGCUCCUGCUGCAUGGUGGGGGUUGGAAAGUUUCGGCGGUUGGGGAUGGACUCGCGGCUUAUCAGCUUGUUGGUGGGGUAGUGGCUUACCAAGGCUUUGACGGGUAGCCGGCCUGAGAGGGUGACCGGCCACAUGGGGACUGAGAUACGGCCCAGACUCCUACGGGAGGCAGCAGUGGGGAAUAUUGCACAAUGGGCGGAAGCCUGAUGCAGCAACGCCGCGUGCGGGAUGACGGCCUUCGGGUGGUAAACCGCUUUCGCCUGUGACGAAGCGUGAGUGACGGUAAUGGGUAAAGAAGCACCGGCUAACUACGU